Molecule: ribosomal RNA, 206 nt
Filed under: uncultured bacterium
Lineage: Bacteria
Description: partial 16S ribosomal RNA
Rfam family: Bacterial small subunit ribosomal RNA
Source: RNAcentral
AGAUUGCAGGCUGCAACUCGCCUGCAUGAAGUCGGAAUUGCUAGUAAUCGCGGAUCAGCAUGCCGCGGUGAAUACGUUCCCGGGUCUUGUACACACCGCCCGUCACACCAUGGGAGUCGGAAAUGCCCGAAGUCUGUGACCCAACCUUAGGGAGGGAGCAGCCGAAGGCAGGUCGGAUGACUGGGGUGAAGUCGUAACAAGGUAGC